UUAAGGGAAAAUUCUUGGUGGAUUAUGUAAAUACAGAAAGGAGAGAGAUUCUCUCAAUUUCUGUUGCUUGAAAUUCUUCAAAUAAUAUUGCCAGAACCUAGAUAGUUUUCAUUUUAUUUGCAUCAGAGGCCUGUUGAAAGAAUUUUGUAUGUUUGCUUUGGAAUUUGAAUUUUUCAGUCCUUGGUUUGAAAGGGUGGUCACAACAUUAUAGAAGAAGAGACCAAUACAUUUGAAGUUGGGUAUACGAAAAGGUUGGAGAAAUUCUAGACAAGAUAAG
RNAcentral lists this long non-coding RNA (277 nucleotides) under Olea europaea (common olive). RNAcentral's name for it is "long non-coding RNA (OEUR_LNC007446)". Lineage: Eukaryota; Viridiplantae; Streptophyta; Magnoliopsida; Lamiales; Oleaceae. The record is from RNAcentral.